AGAGUUUGAUCAUGGCUCAGGAUGAACGCUAGCGGGAGGCCUAACACAUGCAAGCCGAGCGGUAGGUUUCCUUCGGGAGACUGAGAGCGGCGCACGGGUGCGGAACACGUGUGCAACCUGCCUUUAUCAGGGGGGAUAGCCUUUCGAAAGGAAGAUUAAUACCCCAUAACAUUUUGAAUGGCAUCAUUUAAAAUUGAAAACUCCGGUGGAUAAAGAUGGGCACGCGCAGGAUUAGAUAGUUGGUAGGGUAACGGCCUACCAAGUCAACGAUCCUUAGGGGGCCUGAGAGGGUGAUCCCCCACACUGGUACUGAGACACGGACCAGACUCCUACGGGAGGCAGCAGUGAGGAAUAUUGGACAAUGGGUGAGAGCCUGAUCCAGCCAUCCCGCGUGAAGGACGACGGCCCUAUGGGUUGUAAACUUCUUUUGUAUAGGGAUAAACCUACUCUCGUGAGAGUAGCUGAAGGUACUAUACGAAUAAGCACCGGCUAACUCCGUGCCAGCAGCCGCGGUAAUACGGAGGGUGCAAGCGUUAUCCGGAUUUAUUGGGUUUAAAGGGUCCGUAGGCUGAUUUGUAAGUCAGUGGUGAAAUCUCACAGCUCAACUGUGAAACUGCCAUUGAUACUGCAAGUCUUGAGUGUUGUUGAAGUAGCUGGAAUAAGUAGUGUAGCGGUGAAAUGCAUAGAUAUUACUUAGAACACCAAUUGCGAAGGCAGGUUACUAAGCAACAACUGACGCUGAUGGACGAAAGCGUGGGGAGCGAACAGGAUUAGAUACCCUAGUAGUCC
Molecule: ribosomal RNA, 789 nt
Filed under: uncultured bacterium
Lineage: Bacteria
Description: bacterial SSU rRNA
Rfam family: Bacterial small subunit ribosomal RNA
Source: RNAcentral